GUCACUGACACAUUUCUGAUACAGGGAAAAAAAAUAGCAUGAUUGCUUUAGUAGUUAUAAUUUUUCUGUCCAUGCACCACAUUCCUGGAAGUCCAGAAUAUAGCAAGAAUCCUUGGUCUAUGGUCCUAGAGAGCCAUUUAAUGUUUUGAUUGGUAUAGUUAUACAAAAAGAGCAAGGAGUACAUUGGUAGAUCACAUCUGCAACUGAACCAUUACAUAUUCUUUGUUGUAUCAAUGUCUCUGUGUUUAUGUUUACAGGAGUUCCUUGCUUUGCAGGUAUGUACAUAAUUUGUAGAGUUUAAGAAAGGCUGCAAAUCGUGCUUUAGUACAAG
This is a non-coding RNA of Pelobates cultripes (western spadefoot toad), 331 nucleotides long. The record is from the annotation of a GenBank genome assembly. NCBI's taxonomy places the organism in Eukaryota, Metazoa, Chordata, Amphibia, Anura, Pelobatidae.